CGAGCGGAACUAUUUUUCGCGGAGUUGGCGUCUAGUCGGACCUAAAUGCCGCAGGAAACGGGAGCGCCGCGGUUUGGGGGAGGAGUCCGGGGCUGGUACGAAGUUCCGCGAGACCUUUGAACAGUUUUGGCGUCCGAGGUGAAGAGCGAAAGCAUAACUUCAAGAUACUGCAGUUUUGGUUCCAGACCACCGGGAUAAAAGAUACAUCUCUGGUGCCUUCAUCCCUUUUAGAACUGCAGAAGGUGCUCCAGGGGGCUAGUACAAAGCACAGAGCCUGGAAGUCUGGAGACUCCGGUCCUAGUCACAGAUCUUUUACUCUUAAUGUAAGUGACUUUCUUCUAAAUAUGUACCUGGUGGACUUCCCUGGUGGCGCAGUGGUUAAGAAUCCACCUGCCAAUGCAGGGGACACAGGUUCGAGC
This is a long non-coding RNA of Balaenoptera musculus (blue whale), 419 nucleotides long. RefSeq lists it as uncharacterized. NCBI's taxonomy places the organism in Eukaryota, Metazoa, Chordata, Mammalia, Artiodactyla, Balaenopteridae. The record is from RefSeq and is a predicted model, not a curated record. The transcript is spliced from 3 exons.